RNAcentral lists this ribosomal RNA (403 nucleotides) under Verrucomicrobiota bacterium. RNAcentral describes it as "Verrucomicrobia bacterium partial 16S ribosomal RNA". It matches the Rfam family "Bacterial small subunit ribosomal RNA", at positions 355 to 776 of the family's 1533-position model. The record is from RNAcentral. Lineage: Bacteria; Pseudomonadati; Verrucomicrobiota.
UGGGGAAUAUUGCACAAUGGGGGAAACCCUGAUGCAGCGACGCCGCGUGAGCGAAGAAGGCUUUCGAGUCGUAAAGCUCUGUCCUAUGAGAAGAUAAUGACGGUAUCAUAGGAGGAAGCCCUGGCUAAAUACGUGCCAGCAGCCGCGGUAAUACGUAUGGGGCGAGCGUUGUCCGGAAUUAUUGGGCGUAAAGGGUACGUAGGUGGUUUUUUAAGUCAGGUGUCAAAGCGUGGAGCUUAACUCCAUUAAGCACUUGAAACUGAAAGACUUGAGUGAAGGAGAGGAAAGUGGAAUUCCUAGUGUAGCGGUGAAAUGCGUAGAUAUUAGGAGGAAUACCGGUGGCGAAGGCGACUUUCUGGACUUUUACUGACGCUGAGGCACGAAAGCGUGGGGAGCAAACAGG